Molecule: RNA transcript, 11436 nt
Organism: Grus americana (Whooping crane)
Lineage: Eukaryota; Metazoa; Chordata; Aves; Gruiformes; Gruidae
Gene: SLC25A36
Gene name: solute carrier family 25 member 36
Exons: 19
Source: RefSeq, a predicted model, not a curated record
CCGCAGGAAGCCGCGCGGCCGCGGUGCGUAUUUAUGCUGAGCCCUGCCAGGAGCGGCCCGGCUGAGCGCGGGGUGGAAGCGCCCGGCACCCCUCCUUCCCGCCCGGGCGCAGGCGGCGAGAAUGAGCCAGAGAGACACCCUGGUGCAUCUGUUUGCCGGCGGAUGUGGAGGCACUGUUGGUGCAAUUCUGACAUGUCCACUGGAAGUUGUGAAAACACGAUUGCAGUCCUCCUCUGUGACUCUUUACAUCUCUGAAGUCCAUCUCAACACUGUGAAUGGUGCUAGCGUCAAUCGAGUAACUAGAGUUUCUCCUGGACCUCUCCAUUGUUUGAAGAUGAUCUUGCAAAAGGAAGGCCCUCGUUCUCUGUUCAGAGGGCUGGGUCCUAAUUUAGUAGGUGUUGCUCCUUCCAGAGCGAUAUAUUUUGCUGCUUACUCAAACUGCAAGGAAAAGUUGAACAAUAUUUUCAAUCCAGAUUCUACCCAGGUACACAUGAUUUCAGCUGGUGUGGCAGGUUUUACUGCGAUCACAACAACUAAUCCCAUUUGGCUAGUAAAGACACGAUUACAGCUUGAUGCAAGGAAUCGUGGAGAAAAGCGAAUGAGUGCUUUCGAAUGUGUCCGAAAAGUUUAUCGAUCAGAUGGUUUUAAAGGCUUUUACAGAGGAAUGUCAGCAUCCUACGCAGGCAUAUCUGAGACUGUUAUUCAUUUUGUUAUUUAUGAGAGUAUUAAGAGAAAACUACUGGAGUAUAAGACUGCUUCUGCCAUGGGCAGUGAGGAUGAAUCAGCAAAAGAAGCUUCGGACUUUGUUGGAAUGAUGAUGGCUGCUGCCACUUCCAAAACUUGUGCAACGUCAAUAGCAUAUCCCCAUGAGGUUGUACGAACAAGACUAAGAGAAGAGGGAACAAAAUACAGAUCUUUCUUCCAGACACUAUCUUUGCUUGUGCGGGAAGAAGGGUAUGGAUCCCUCUACCGAGGUUUAACUACACAUCUGAUCAGACAGAUUCCAAACACGGCUAUCAUGAUGUCAACAUAUGAAGUGGUAGUCUACUUGCUCGAUGGAUAGCAGCGUAACAAGGCUUCCUACAAGAAAGUGAAAGAAUGAAAGACUGGAGUGGACCACUGAAUGUCAAUGCCAAUCUGGUGGGCAAAAGGAAAGUUAUAUCAGGAACAUGCAGCUAUGGACAAAACAGAAGGUUGAUUGUGGGCAACUAUGAAUAAUUUUGCUGCCUUAUUGUAUGGUCUCUUGGCAAUGUGACAAAUGGGAACUACCCCUUAGGGAAUACCUUUAUACAUCUCUUAAUUCAAAAUUGCUACUUUCUUUUCAUCUGUUAAUCUAGACAAGACCAUUCAGUCAUCUUCAGAGACCUAAUGGGUGAGGGAGGGUGGUAUAAAAUAUAUUCUUGGGCAGCCUUAUUCAUUUCCCUUAGUAAUUGCUCUCAACUACAUCCUUUUCGUUCUGUUUAAUGCACAGUAACCUGUUGGAAGAAUGGGGAAGACAUACUUUCAUACCUUUCCAUACCUGAAACUUCCAUUCAGUUGCUCUGAAGAUUCACAAAGAGACUGAGGUAGUAAUCAGUGCAUAAAGCUUUCCAUGUUGCUACCUCAAGACAAAAUAUGGCGCAGGGACCCAGAACAGAGUUAUUUCUUCACUACAAAAGGUGAUACUUGUGUUUUCUUUGAAGUUUGAGCAGUGUUAUAGGUUAGUGAGAGAGGAUCUGAUUGUUGAACUCAUCAGGUUAUCAAUCUAUUAAUAUUGGUGUAUGUGGAUUUCUAGUUCUGCUGCAUCAUCCUUUUUUCUUUCCUGGAGCUUUCCUUCCUUAGGCAGGAGAGACCUAUGAAACAUUCUCCUAUAUCAUCAGUUUUCCUUGUCAACCUGUCAGGUCACUCACACAGCUAAGGAAGAACUUGCUGAAUGUUACUUUGUGGCCUUUUUAAGGUUUCUUAAUGUGAUGAGAAAUCUAGACUAGGUCCAGCCUACCAUUUGUGAAGACAGGAUUCACCCACAUAGUUUCAUGCUACCUAAGAACAAGCUGUAUUACUCUAAAAUGUCUGGCAAAACCUGACUUGCAUUACCAGUAUCUGUAUGGGAGUACAGGGGUAGCCACAUCACCAUGGCUAAGGCAACCAGAAAGCAGCUGAAGUUGUGAUAAACCUUUUCAGUGCAGACAGUAUCUGUGCAGAACAAUGAAGAAAACUGAGAUUAUUUUCUUGUAAGCAUUCCCCUUGAUAAUUGCUGUAUCACUUCUUCCAACUUGAGCCUGUGUACAGAACCACAGCUGACAGUAUAACCUUGUCCUUCAAAUUGUCUGAAUAUUCAGGCAUUGUUUUUUGCUGUUCUAUAAGCCAGUUGCAAAACAGCGUUGUGUUCAGCAGUGAGGCUUAGCCAGUUUAUUCUGUCAUAAUUAACAGGGUUUUCCAAACCAUACAGUUGGAAUGUCAAAAUCAGAAAUUUAAUGUUACAAGAACUUGUACAGCUUUCCAAACAUAAAUCUUUUAUCUGCACCUUGAGUACUUCUCAGUCUGCAUCUAUGAUCCUUAUGAGGAAGAUGGUUGUUAUAAAUUUGGGGCAAUAGCUUUCUACAUAUAAAUGCUGCUACACUGGUGUGGACAGAACUGUGCUAUCAACUCUUCCAGUGUGGUACUUCAGUACACUUAAACUGUGCAUUGUGUGCAAUGGCUUUAUUUUAUGAAUGACUCCUUACGCACUUUGUGGCCUUCUUAUGGCUUGUGACUUUUCUUCCUCUUACUGGUUAUCUGUAGUCAAACUGUGUUCAGAACAUGCAGCUUGGUUUUAAACAAAGCAUGUGGUUUGAUUUCCGUGUAAGCUGUGCAGGAUAAAACAUUUUAUGCUGUAGAUCCAUAGCAUCUCUGUUGCAGUAGUUCUGUAAGCUGUAUGUAAAAGCUCAAAGCUUACAGAACAGUCAGUCUGGGUUUUUCUCAUUUGCUGUCCUUUAUUUUGACCCUUGUCAUGUUUUCCACAGUGUCAAAGUAUUUGAGUACUUCAUGUAAUUCUCCAUAUGAAUUGCUCAUCCUUCUAGAAGCCACCUAUAGUAUGUACAGCAACCUUGCAGUGGAGGCUUAGCUGUAUUGAUUUCCUUCUCCUUGGGAAAAUGUUAUCUUACCUUUUUAAAGACAGAUAGCAUGGUCUGAUGUGACCAAAGGUGAACUUGAUUGUUUUAGAGAAGUGAGGGGAGCGCUUAAAUGUGUGUUCUAAAGUGAGCUUUUUUUAGUAAUCUCUCUAAGAAAUGUCUGAAGUAUUCAUGACUCUGACCCAAGUCUAGCUGUGAUGCCAUUGUUUGGAUAACUAAGUGCAAGAAUAGCUACUUAGUGUAAUUCUUGUUCUGUAGAAAGUGGAUUACUUUUCAGGCUAUCCAGAUUAUUCAGUCAUAGCCAAAAUUUUAAAUUGGCAAAGACAAUAUUCAGCUUUGGAGUUCAUGAAUACAAUUAAUACUUGGAUUUGCCUAGGCUUCAUGAGUUAGUCUUCUCUGAUUAUUGUGUAAGUUCUCCCUUGGUUACAUAUUCAUCUCCUGUUAAUUCACUAGGUACCAUGUGUGUGCCUUCUCUGGGUGAGAACAGUCCUCCUGAAUUGAUAAAUAGAAAAUGUUAAUAAGGACAAUUGAAUAUGGGAGACAACAUUAAAAAUAGACAAUCAGCUUAUUAUUCCACCUUUUUAAUGGGUGUUUAAGCAAUGUUGUAAACUUCAGGGGUGAUCAUCUUGGCUUGCUUGCCAUAAAACAUAAACCCAAAGUUUCUUGCGAUUUUUUUUGUUAUUGUUAAACCACCAGUACAUAUAAAGUUACCUCUGAAAUAUUUCCCAAAGAUCUUUAAAUUAUUUAUAUAGUUUUCUUGAUAUUUAUUAUAAAAACUCAAAGGGAAUAAGAAGAUGGAUUCAGUAGUAUCCAUAACUACAGAACUGAAAAGAGUGCACUGAAACUUUCUUGUAACUUAGAUGGUUGUCUUGAUUUAUAUUUGAAUGUAGUGUAUUUGUCACACUUCUGUGCUAGAUGCAAAGGUCUUGGAUGUCAGAGAAGCUCUCAGUAAUGAAUUAGUUUUCUGCAUAUUUCCCCUACCUAGAUGAAACAUAAACGUUAGGCAACCCGUUAGAUUUGGAAACAGUGAGACUGCAGUUUCCUGGACCAGUCAAAAGAUGGCACUGGAGCAUGCAGUCCUCGGAGGGAAAGGGGCUCCUCUGCCAGGGCCGGACUAGCUCGGCUGUUACACAGCGCUGGUUGUCACCGAGUGGCUGUGGCAUGUUGGGGGGACGCGGCAGGGUGGCCCGAGUUUGCAAAACCAUAAAAAAAAGUUUCAGUGACUGCAGUCACAUUUGUUAUCCUUUUGGUCCCUGUAGAGCUGUGUGAAAACAGGAGAGUUGUGUGUUGCAGAGGGCUGAGCCCAGCCUUUAAACUGACUGAUGGAUCUGCUGUUUCUGUCUAAAUUUCUGAUCUGCUAGGCUAUGUUGUUUUAAGUAGGCUUACACUAGAGAUUUACAGAGUUUUGUUAUUUUAAUUGUAACUGAAACAUCAACCUGUCCACUUGUAUAUUGACAUUGUGCCAUCUCGUUUCCUGUUUACAUAAUGCACUCCAUAUAUUUCCUUUCUGAUUGAGAAGUUUGUUAAUGACAGUUUCUGCUAUUCUGUUUUUAUUCUUAGAAUGAAAUUUGUAACAUUCCUCAGACUGUAGCAUUUUAAAAGAAUGUUUUCAGAGACAAAAGAUUGGAGAGCCGUUAUAAAUGUUGCUUCCUGUUUAAACUGUUUAAAUUCGGAAAACAAGCUGAACACUGAAGUGUGCCUAGAUGUUCAUGUGAAUUGACCUACAUUGUUCUGCUUCUGAAACUUUCUAGCUUCCAGACCAGCCAGGCUUAGAGGUGAUCAGUCUUCUGGAAUCAGUACAGGCAACCAGUGUGCAUAUCCCUGACACAUCUGAAAAUGAAGUAAAUGCAGGAGAUCAAUCCAUACAUUUUUUGUGGAACUAUCUGAUGUGGAGCCACAAAGGAAAUCUCUAGAUUAUUCCAACAGGGGCCACGAGUGUCGCUUUCUCAGUUGGAAAGGAGAGAAGAAAAAGACUCCAGGUAUAGGAUAUGAUAAACUUCAACUAGUUGUAUGUGAAAACACCAACUAAAGGGGACUCCACAUAGAGAAAAUACUGUAUUGCAGUGGGAAAACACCAGCGCCUCGCUCAACUCUAUUCUGCCAGAGCUCUCUGCCAGCAUGUAUUAAGGUUGUGCUGAGUGCUUAAAGCUGGCACACAACAGAAGGAAACAAGUAGGGCCAGGGAGGAUAUGGCAAUCAGAAAUCUGCUAAUAUGAAUAUAAGGUAUAUAACAGGAUGAAAAGCUCAAGACUGUGUAAGAACACUUUGAAGGUGAAGGACAAUGACAGUAUCAUCUUACAGGCAAAAUUAUAUGCAGCACAGGUUGAUAUUAAGGAGAAUUUUUAUAGUCAGAAAACCUAGUAGAUUCUAGUAAGUCGAUGCAGUCUGCCUUUAUCUGCACUACUGUUGAUGCUGAAGAGAAAUAGACUUACAGUUCUGUCCUGUCUUUGGGCAGACACCGUAGCAAGAUGCCAACGAGGUAUAGAAUGAGAACAGCCCACCAGGAGCGUACGAAGAAGGCUGUGCGGCAGUGGCUGUGCUGGGCUGCUGCCUGCGACCAUCUGCUCAAAGUCUGUAGGACGAGGUCCUAAGUCUCUGACCUCCAUCAGAGCAGAAACCUAGUAGAGCUGGACAGACACCUCAGCUGACACUUACACGUUGCUCUAAGGGCUGGAAGGCCUCGUUGGGAGAACUGAGGAAGGAACAGUGGUGAACUUGGAAGUGUGUGAAUUCUUAAAGUGCAUCGCUCUGCCAAGAUGCUGGAGCUCAGACUGUUUGUAUCACUGCAGUGCAAGUACCUCCUUAUAUAUAGUCACACUUCAAUUUUCCCGUGAGGUUCUGUGAUUCCUGAACUGUACUAGGGCUUAGGUCAGUGCAUCUCCGCAGAGGACUGGAAACUUGACUUUACUUGACUCUGAGUACUUUGUGACAUUACUUACAUGAACUCAAUGCAAAGCAAAACACUAAAUCUACUUCUUGGAAUAAUUUUCACAUAUCUAGAACCAGAGCUUAAAUGAUUUUUUAGAUUAUUGAUUUAAUAGGUAUUGCUUAAUAUAUUUUAUUGUAGUAAUAAAAAUUUCUUCAAUUACCAAAUUAAUAUUUCCAAAGUAAAAUCUGGUGAGUCCUAAGUAAGAAGUGAAUUGCUGCCUACAGUCAAUAGUUUAAUAGUGGAAAAGCUAUUUAAUUUUAUUAUUAUUAUUCAAAUUUAUGUUCAGUUUUUCCUCAAUUAGCAUAUAAAUACUAUAAUUCACUUAUAUGAAAAAAGCCUUAUCCCGGAAUACCUCUAAUGAUUAUAGAUAUCUGGGUAAGGCAAAAUCUUGGCUAACACAGAGCAGUGAACACAAAUCAGGCAGAACAGGCUUAUGGUACAAUGAAAAUUGUUUUCUCCAACUUAGUGUCUGUACAAGAAUUUGUGGAGUCUUAUGCAGGGAUCAGAAUCUUUCUUUCUUUAGUAUGCUCAUGUAAAUGAGUAACCAUUUUCUUCUAUGUGUACAUAUUUCUAUGGAGCUGGUUUGCUCACUCGUUCUUUAACAGAAGUCUUUUUUUUUUUUUAAGGAUCAGUUCAAGCUCCUCUUUGGCAUCUUUGAAAAUUGCUACUGAAAGUAUGCUAUUCCUGUAGCCACCUUUCGCCCAGCGCAUGUAUAAAUUAGUAAUUCAGCUGAAGAAAAUAUGCUAAAUCAUUCUGCUCUCACUAGAGGGCCAGAGUAAGGAAGCAGAUUCAGCUGCAUGGAAGUUUAUAAAAUGAGCACUAUUUUAGAUCAAUGGAAGAGAAAGUGACAAAGCUAAUGAUUGAGUAAGAAAAAUCUGUUUUCAUCCUCAUUUUGUGUGUGCAGACUUAAGUGCUGACAUCUUCAGUUUUAACAGUAGAAGUAGGUAGCUUUCAGGCCAUUUAGUGGUUUUAGGUUAAAAUUAACACCCUAAUCUUUUUUCAUUCUUAACAGAUAGCCAGAGUAGACAAAUGUAUGCCAAUUACAUUUCCUCCCAGAAAAAUACUCAACCUAAGCAAUGACCUAUUGACACCACGUGUAACUUUUGACAAGAAGGUAUCAACACCUUUUGUAAAGUAUGUUGCAGUAAUCUAAUCCGAAAGCAAAUUCAGCCUAGAGCAUGUCAGGUGUUUUACUUUAGAGGGAUGAAUUUAAGCCUCAGAGUAGACUUGAAAGCCAACCUCAAACCCCUGCUGAAGAGAGGCAUGUGCCCAUUUUGAUUGCCAGAGGAGAUGCAAGCCACCUCAUUCCUUUGGAGAUUCUUGCCCCUGUGGGUGAAGGAUGUUUUCCCAAGGGCCUGCCCUUCUAGGCUCAGGUGGGCUCUUGCCCUUUGCGUCUGUGGGCGACACACACAUGAAUGACACUUCGCAUCCAAAAGGAACAACUGGAACUUGUAGCGUUCUGUGUGCUGGUUGUAUUGGCCAGUGCUUUCCUAACAGAUCCAAGGAACCAACCAAUUUCCAGAAGGUGCACCAGUCCUACAGGCAAGCUCUCCCAGUUACAAAUAAAAUACUCCCUCUGCCAUCUCUUCUGGCUGUUUCAUCAGUUACCAGCCUUGCUUUUGUUUGUCAAACUGACUCUCAGGCAAUAAGGGUGAGAAUCUACACCCUCACUUUCCUCCAAACACAGUUAAUUGGUUUGUUCCAAGACUCUCUUCCACUGUGGGAACUGAGAAGGGGGAUAUUAGUACUGAUUUCACUGGAGUAAUAUGAAAGUUCGUAAGUUAUUUUUCAAGUAGUAUGUAUGGCAGCUGCCAUUUAAACAGCUCUGAAUCUGACAGUAUCUGCUUUACAACUGCUGUUGCUAUGUCUGGUUUUAAAGGAAGAAUAAAUUUCAUAAACAACUGAGAACUAGAUGUUCAUUCAUGCACACAUAAAAAAAAUUACUGGUUAACCAUUCAGUGUACAGUGUUGCUGGGUCCUCACUGGCACCACUUUGAAGGUGUUUGAAUAUUUUGAACUGAGGUUUAUUCUUCUUCAGACGUAUUCUUAAUCAGCCAAAUGGUUCAGAACGUCCACUCUACCUGUUAAACCUACUUAAGCACCAGUUGUUUCAUCUUCUUGAAUCUUAUUAUUCAGGGGUUUAUAAUUAGUAACUCUUACAUUUCUGCAUAAAUUUUUAACAUGGGAUUGGACAAGGACAAUUACCUCAGCAAUCUAGUAGAGCAAAUACAUCUUUUUAACCUCUUUCUCAAACAAAACCAGGAAGAAAAGUCUUUGUGAUUCCAAUUUUCCAGCCCAGCACAAUCAUGUUUUGUCCUUGUCUCUCAACUGAAUUAACAGCAUUAUAUCCCUGCAUCCCAGAUACUUUUGCCAGGAAUUGUAGUUGGAUAUGCUCUAAGUUGCUUUGUUUGGUUUAUUGGGAGUUCAAGCAAACACAGCAUGCAGUCAUGUUAAUGCAGAAAUUUAAUGUGCUUAUGUCACUUCCCUGGUUGGUGUAUGUCUGGCAUACACCAUGAGGUUAGCAGUGAAUGUUUGUAUUGGAAAAGAGUAAAACAAAUGCUGUGUUUGAUCUGGCUGCUGGCAGAGUACCAAUGGGAAUCACUAUGGAUGUGUGAAGCAUGUACACGAGCUCGGCUGAGCUGCCGCUCUGGAGGGUGAAACUUCUGUUGCUCUGAAAGCUCUGAUACUGUUCAGCCAAAGUCAGACCAGGACACAUUCAGAUUUUCCUCACGCUUUUUAACCAACUGAAUUUGGAAGGAGAGCUAAUUAAAGAUGUACAAAGCUUCAGCCCUAUUUUUAUUAUAAAUGCACCUGUGACACAAUUUUUCAGGUGAAACCUACAAUGGAAAGGAAGGAAACAAGCAUUUCAAAUUAAGUAUCUCUGCACUCAGGAUGAAAAGCAGAUGAGAUCUCACCUAGGCAAAUUAACCUACCUACCCAUCUAUUGUGUGCUAAGAAAUUAUUUUUAGCAUGCCUGUGACACUUUUGAUAAUUAAUUUUCGAUGUAAUCAAAGGCUGUAUUUAACAAAACAGAGAUGAAACGGGGAGUUCAGCAUGAAAGAGAUGUCUAUGUAAUUGUCUUUAUCUUGCUCAUAUUAAUAACCUGGGAAAGCACUGCUAUAGAACCUAUAGUUCUGUUCUGAAAGCAGAGCAGAAAGAAUUACCUGUAUUGAGAGCUUGUUAAUAUCCAGUGUAAUACACUUUAAAAUUGCUCAUGAAGGAUCUGGUCCCAACAGGUGCUUAGUAGGCUGCAGAAUCAUAAAAAUAGUACGUAAAUGUGGCUACCUGCUUUCACAAGUAGCUUCUCCUCCUUUUCCAGACAGACAUCAUCUAAUAUUAAGAUAUCGUGGAAUUUCAUGAGUUGAGUCAGUUGCUUUGUGGCCUGUGCCUGUUGGGCAGGUCAGCCUGGACUGCCCCCAGAACUCGAAGGUUCUUUCCAUUGACUUGCAAGAGGAGGAGAGAAAAAAAAAAAUGGAACCGUUCAUCCCAUCCUCUUUCCAGACCUGAAAGAGGAAAAUGGAAGCUAGCUGAUGCUGUUACUCUGAAGAAGCUCUUGGGGAUAUUUCACUAGACGCAUCAGCUCGAUACGCUUUUUGUGAAAAAGCUAACUGCUUGUGACAAGAUCAUGUAUAUGUUUUGGCAGUAAAUUAAAAUUUGUUUGGCACCAAACAGGAAAAUUGGCAGAACUCAUCUCUUCAAGUUUAGAUACGACGCAGAGAAUGAGGUUGGAAUUAUACAGUUGAAAAUUAAAAAGCUAUUCCUUUAACUUCACUGGGAGUUCAUUUUUUUAUCUAGGUUCCUAAGUCCCCCAAGGACUUAGAACUCUGGCCAUCUCUCUUAGAAAUUUAGUGAGUUACACUCAAGUGAAAAAAUAGUAUGCUAUAAUAGAAGUAUUUGAAAACCUUAACAAGAGUCAGCUUUACCUGCUCCGCUCUUAAGAGCAGUAACAAAAUAGAUGGCAAUAGAAGAAAUGUGUUAAUGUAUGUUUAUAAGUCAUAUGCAUAAGACAAGGUUAUUGUGAUAAGUUGCACAUAGCUUUUUUUCCAGUGGGAUUUACUGACUGUGAAUAUAUAUGGCCAUGCUGGAAAGCACAGAUGAAAACUGUAGGAAUGUGAAUUAGUUCCUUCCUCAGUUAAAAUGUGCAAAAACUUAAGGUGUCAGAGACUUGUAAAAAACCAAUAGUUUAUAGGAAGCUUUUUUCCUACUUUUUUUACCAUGUCUCUAAUUUUGUUAAAAUGUUUUAAAGAAACAUUGCAGGAAAUAGUUUCUAGUGUUGGAAAACAAAUGUUUAGCUUUUCUAAGAAUUGUACAUUAAAAUAUUGCAAAGUCAUCUGCAAUAAUGUUACUUUGAUUGGAAACAGAUUUCAGGUGUUUACCUCUUGCAUUAGUCAUAUGCAUAAACUUGAUUUUUAGUGAUGAUCAAGUAAAUAUAAAUCAAGACCAAUGGAUGAGUGACACCCUCAAAGUUGAUUUCAGAAGGCUCUCUACAGCUUUUAAUAACUUGGACAAAAAGUAUGUGCUACUGGGUAUGAUCUGGUCUCCUGAUACUUUUGCUAUUUACCGAGUAGUGGAGAAGUUGUAAUAAACAGUAACAAACAGUGGUAUGAUUUGCGAGGCUCAUCAGUACUUUUAAAGUUUGUUACUAACAAAACUUUGCUCGAGUGCAAGAAGAAGUCUUUAUUGUAUCUUGAAUGUGGGAAUGGAAUAUAAACUUACAAUGGUAUUUAUUUUUUAUUAUGUGCAGAAACUAUAGUGACAUGAGCAUUUUGUAGAACUGGGAAAUUAAACUGGUUAUUAUUCUCUUUUUGAAGAAUAUUAUUGUAAUUGCAAGGCUAUUAUUUCUAUCCAUUUUCAGUGCACCAAAUUGGUUUUGCAAGAUUUUAUUCUUCCUUCCCACUCCCAAAUCUGUCUUGUUUCCUGCUAAACUUAGGUUAAUGAAGGGCUAAAUGCAUUUUGCCUAUGUAGGAAACAGAUCUCUUUUUUUUUAAUUCUCGAAAAUAAAUAUUCUUACAAAGCAUAUCAAUUAUGCUAUUAAUCAUGCAGAGCCUUUAUAAUUUUUCAGAUGUGCUAACUAUAUUAUUUUUGAUCAUUACUCUUAUGCUAGUCUGACUAAUCUGUGAAUAACAGGCAAAAUUAUGCGUUUAUUCAUUUGUGAUAUUUGAAGGCUUCUGUUUGCUAACGCAGGAAUACAUGGUUGCUUUUUAUAAACUUUUUAUAAACUUUUAUUUAAAUUUGUCAAUGAAAGAUGUCAUAAUUAUCACUAAAAAACAGGCAGUAACAAGACUUUCCUGCAGAUGAGCCUUCUGUGUGUAUCGCUAAUCUGCAAAUCAGUGUUGAAGACUGUUAAUUUGCUCUGAAACACAUUGAGUUACUGUACAAGAGCAAAUAUGAAAAUAAACUGGCAUCCAUCUUUGAUAA